Molecule: transfer RNA, 72 nt
Filed under: Nitrospinota bacterium
Lineage: Bacteria; Pseudomonadati; Nitrospinota
Description: tRNA-Gly
Rfam family: tRNA
About the family: Transfer RNA (tRNA) molecules are approximately 80 nucleotides in length.
Source: RNAcentral
GCAUCGUUAGUACAGUGGUUAGUAUGCCAGCCUUCCAAGCUGGUGACCCGGGUUCGAUUCCCGGACGUUGCA